This 484-nucleotide ribosomal RNA is filed under the name uncultured bacterium. Its description in RNAcentral is "partial 16S ribosomal RNA". It matches the Rfam family "Bacterial small subunit ribosomal RNA", at positions 30 to 507 of the family's 1533-position model. The record is from RNAcentral.
AUUGAACGCUGGCGGCAUGCCUUACACAUGCAAGUCGAACGGCAGCGCGGGAGCAAUCCUGGCGGCGAGUGGCGAACGGGUGAGUAAUACAUCGGAACGUGCCCAAUCGUGGGGGAUAACGCAGCGAAAGCUGUGCUAAUACCGCAUACGAUCUACGGAUGAAAGCAGGGGAUCGCAAGACCUUGCGCGAAUGGAGCGGCCGAUGGCAGAUUAGGUAGUUGGUGAGGUAAAGGCUCACCAAGCCUUCGAUCUGUAGCUGGUCUGAGAGGACGACCAGCCACACUGGGACUGAGACACGGCCCAGACUCCUACGGGAGGCAGCAGUGGGGAAUUUUGGACAAUGGGCGAAAGCCUGAUCCAGCCAUGCCGCGUGCAGGAUGAAGGCCUUCGGGUUGUAAACUGCUUUUGUUCGGAACGAAACGGUCUUUUCUAAUAAAGAAGGCUAAUGACGGUACCGUAAGAAUAAGCACCGGCUAACUACGUG